CCUACGGGAGGCAGCAGUAAGGAAUAUUGGUCAAUGGAGGCAACUCUGAACCAGCCAUGCCGCGUGCAGGAUGACGGCCCUAUGGGUUGUAAACUGCUUUUGAACAAAGAGAAAACCCUCUUACGAGUAAGAGCUGAUAGUAUUGUUAGAAUAAGCAUCGGCUAACUUCGUGC
RNAcentral lists this ribosomal RNA (173 nucleotides) under uncultured bacterium. RNAcentral's name for it is "partial 16S ribosomal RNA". It matches the Rfam family "Bacterial small subunit ribosomal RNA", at positions 338 to 508 of the family's 1533-position model. The record is from RNAcentral.